UAAAAAUACGAAUGAUUUUCUCGUAUAAGUUUGGAAAUACGGUCCAAACGUUUCUACCAAACUACCGUAAAUAGUUUGACUACGAGAGACGAUACACAACUC
Molecule: regulatory RNA element, 102 nt
Organism: Aeribacillus pallidus
Lineage: Bacteria; Bacillati; Bacillota; Bacilli; Caryophanales; Bacillaceae
Rfam family: Purine riboswitch aptamer
About the family: Riboswitches are metabolite binding domains within certain messenger RNAs that serve as precision sensors for their corresponding targets.
Source: Rfam